Molecule: non-coding RNA, 500 nt
Organism: Anas platyrhynchos (mallard)
Lineage: Eukaryota; Metazoa; Chordata; Aves; Anseriformes; Anatidae
Source: RefSeq, a predicted model, not a curated record
CUGGGCAAAUAUAUUAUGUACUGGGGCAAAUAUUUCCUGGGGAGAAUAGGGCACUUGGGGGUAAAUCAGCGGCCACAGAGGCUGAGGAAAAAAUGCACCAAAUGCUCUCCUACAGCUCUGGUGCAACCCGACAUGCAACGUCCAUGAAAUAAUCACCAGGGCAGUACCUGCUGCCACUGCUUUCCUUUAGGAAGCACUUACAGCACCUGUUGUCUUCCAAAUGCCAGGCACCAGCAAUCAAGACCACACACAUAACUACAUAAUUGGAGCUUGCUCAUUAAUCUUCCUCCUUCUGCUGUUCCUGGUCUUCUGCGUUUGGCGCUGGGUGCAGAAGAAGAAGAUGAGAAUCGUUAAACAACAGCAGGAGCCCCCCGAGGAUAACACUGCGGCGGGGGAAAUAACAACUAUUUAUUCCAGAGUCGGAGACAGCUUUGAACAUCCAGGGCUGAGAGAAUCAGCACAGGUCAUCUACUCAUCCAUAACCUCCCUCAAUUCCUGAG